CUACGGGGUGCAGCAGUCAAGAAUCUUCCGCAAUGGGCGAAAGCCUGACGGAGCGACGCCGCGUGUGGGAAGACGCCUUUCGGGGUGUAAACCACUUUUCUGUGGGAAAAACUAGCGAUGGUACCUCAGGAAUAAGGGGCUGCUAACUACGUGCCAGCAGCAGCGGUAAUACGUAGGCCCCAAGCAUUAUCCGGAUUUAGUGGGCGUAAAGCGCUAAAAGGUGGUUUUGUAAGUCAGAUGUUAAAGACCGGAGCUCAACUCCGGGCCUGCAUCUGAAACUACUUAACUUGAGUAUGGGAGAGGCAAGUGGAAUUACCGGUGUAGCAGUAAAAUGCGUUAAUAUCGGUAGGAACACCAAUGGCGAAGGCAGCUUGCUGGAACAUUACUGACACUAAAUAGCGAAAGCGUAGGUAGCGAAUGGGAUUAGAUACCCGCGUAGUC
Molecule: ribosomal RNA, 441 nt
Filed under: uncultured bacterium
Lineage: Bacteria
Description: partial 16S ribosomal RNA
Rfam family: Bacterial small subunit ribosomal RNA
Source: RNAcentral